RNAcentral lists this non-coding RNA (160 nucleotides) under unclassified sequences. RNAcentral's name for it is "RT-2 RNA". It matches the Rfam family "RT-2 RNA", at positions 66 to 222 of the family's 222-position model. Rfam says of the family: Coriobacteriales (Actinobacteria), Clostridiales (Firmicutes). Downstream gene The record is from Rfam by way of RNAcentral.
CCACAAAAAUGGCCGAUACCCUAUCUUUUGAAGCCUUUACACGGACGCUUUUUGCAUGGCGGGUGAUGUGCCUUACCCCGUUUCAUGUGUCGAGGCAAAGCAGAUUAGACGGCACCCUACAAUUUAUCUGCACGAAAGGCGAAUACCAAUUAUGACAAGU